CUCAGUUCGGAUUGGAGUCUGNAACCCGAACUCCAUGAAGCUGGAUUCGCUAGUAAUCGCGCAUCAGCCACGGCGCGGUGAAUACGUUCCCGGGCCUUGUACACACCGCCCGUCAAGCCAUGGGAGCCGGGGGUACCUGAAGUGCGUGACCGCAAGGAGCGCCCUAAGGUAAAACCGGUGACUGGGGCUAAGUCGUAACAAGGUACC
RNAcentral lists this ribosomal RNA (207 nucleotides) under uncultured bacterium. RNAcentral's name for it is "partial 16S ribosomal RNA". It matches the Rfam family "Bacterial small subunit ribosomal RNA", at positions 1287 to 1500 of the family's 1533-position model. The record is from RNAcentral.